ACUUCCUGAAUGGACUACAAUAAAUUCUCGUGUGUUUGCUAACAGGAAACUGUAUAACGAAUACUUCUACAAAGCAGAGGGGGACAAUAUGUUUAGAGGUGUAUUAUUUCUUUAAAAUGCAUCUCGGAGGCGCCCAGGCCACUGCUUAGUAGUCGCCCGGAUGGAGACUAGAGAGAAUCCUCCUUAGAGUACCACACGGGAGGGUUCACACGGGUCAUUCACACGGAGGAGGGGAGAGUGACCCGCCAUUGACCAAGGCGAUAAGCAGAGCUGGGGGAGGACAUUGCUGUGAUAAGACUCGUCAUAGCCCAUCGAUAUCACUGGCACUUGAUAAGACUUCGCAUGGGUAUCGCGGAAGCUAAGCAUUGGGUUGUUUGUCGCUGGAAAAAACCUUGAAUUUAAACCCUAUGCUUGUUUUUCGUCGAAAAGUUUCUCCUUUAGGUUAAUCUUGAAAUGUGUUGUCUUUCUGGGAAUAUUCGUAUUUCUAGGAUCACUAUUACAAUAAAACAGUUGAUUUA
Ostrea edulis (European flat oyster) is the source of this 518-nucleotide long non-coding RNA. RefSeq lists it as uncharacterized. The transcript is spliced from 2 exons. The record is from RefSeq and is a predicted model, not a curated record. Lineage: Eukaryota; Metazoa; Mollusca; Bivalvia; Ostreida; Ostreidae.